RNAcentral lists this ribosomal RNA (406 nucleotides) under uncultured bacterium. Its description in RNAcentral is "partial 16S ribosomal RNA". It matches the Rfam family "Bacterial small subunit ribosomal RNA", at positions 30 to 526 of the family's 1533-position model. The record is from RNAcentral.
AUUGAACGCUGGCGGCAGGCUUAACACAUGCAAGUCGAGCGAGCGGCGGAAGGGUGAGUAAUGUCUGGGACACUGCCUGAAGGGGGGGGAUAACUUCUGGAAACGGUAGCUAAUACCGCAUACCAUCAGUUGUACCCAGAUGGGAUUAGCUAGUAGGUGGGGUAAUGGCUCACAUAGGCGACGAUCCCUAGCUGGUCUGAGAGGGUGACCGGCCACAUUGGAACGUAGACCCGGUCACGACUCCUACGGGAGGCAGCAGUGGGGAAUAUUGCACAAUGGGCGAAAGCCUGAUGCAGACAUGCCGCGUGUGGAAAGAAGGCCUUCGGGUUGUAAAGUACUUUCAUCGGGGAGGCGUUACCCGCAGAAGAAGCACCGGCUAACUCCGUGCCAGCAGCCGCGGUAAUAC